Aethina tumida (small hive beetle) is the source of this 1159-nucleotide long non-coding RNA. RefSeq lists it as uncharacterized. The transcript is spliced from 2 exons. The record is from RefSeq and is a predicted model, not a curated record. Lineage: Eukaryota; Metazoa; Arthropoda; Insecta; Coleoptera; Nitidulidae.
AACAAGAUGGCUGACACAAGCGUCACCGAAAACAAUUGAUAUCAUUCCGCAGCAUUGUAGUUAAACGAUAUAAGUUAAAUAGCAUGUGAUUUAAGGGUUUGCAUCUAUAACUUGAAAAAAGCUAAAAUUUUCAUGGAAACCUCAAGUCUCUCUCAAGUGUCUGCAUGGGUACGUUGUCCCGGAACAAUCUUCUGUGGCCCGCUUCAAAAGGUUAGACUAUGAAAGAUCUAUCAUGAAUAACCCGGAACAAUUUACUGCUCUGAUUUGUGAAGUGUCAACAACCACAAGGAAAAAUUAUAAAUAUCGUCACUAAGUUGCGCCAUCCCGACGUCGGAGGGGUUGAUCGGGGAGGUAAACCAGCAUCCACGAGGGCGCCAGGGGAAAGAACGGCAAUACUGUACGCGCACCCGUCAGAGGGCAAAGGUACCACCCCCGCCAGUGAGCAUGUGCAUAAGUAAGGUGACCAACUAUUUUUUGUUCAAAAAGAGUACACUUUGCAAGUAUUUAAUAGGUGAAGAAAAAACGAUAAAAACUUUAUUUUCUUUUAAAAACAUAUUUUUCUUCGGAGUGGAUAUUUUUUGUUAGAUGAGGAUGUUCGACUAAUAAUAAUAAUCCGAACAACUUUCAUAUUAAAUUUGACUGUUAAGACGGCAGAUAAUGUUUUUACAGAAAGUUGCGACUUCUCACUGCUCCAAUUAUCAUUACCUAGUGAAAAUACCCUUUCAACAGCAGCAUUCGUGCCUGGACAACAUAAGGAAAUUUCUAUUAAAACUUUUAAAUUUUCAUGUGGGAUAUGUUCUACUCUAAAAUGCCGAAAGAUUUCUACCCAUCUUUUGUCAAGUUCUAUUUUCUCAUCGUUCCAUUUCUUCAAUAUUUCUUCAUUUAAAUAUAAAUUUACUCUUCGAAUAUCUUCAAAGAAAAAAUUGUCAUUAAUAACAAUAUCUUUUACUUCUUUCAUUACAAAUUCGACUGCUGAAGAAACUUCUUUCCAUUCAAUUUUACUAUUUAGAAGGGUCCAUUUGAAACAAUUUAAUGCUCUAAAGUUCACUAUCCAUUCUUCGAUAUAUUCAUAGCAAAUUUUAUAAAAAUUUUUAACUUCUUUUAAGAAUUCAUUUUUUAUUCCGGGAUUGGAAUCCUCCAAAACGGUCAGUUUAUUCUU